This 432-nucleotide ribosomal RNA is filed under the name Candidatus Cryptobacteroides avicola. RNAcentral describes it as "bacterial SSU rRNA". It matches the Rfam family "Bacterial small subunit ribosomal RNA", at positions 1 to 426 of the family's 1533-position model. Lineage: Bacteria; Pseudomonadati; Bacteroidota; Bacteroidia; Bacteroidales. The record is from RNAcentral.
ACAAAGAAGAGUUUGAUCCUGGCUCAGGAUGAACGCUAGCGGCAGGCUUAACACAUGCAAGUCGAGGGGCAGCGCGCGGGUAGCAAUACCUGUGGCGGCGACCGGCGGAAGGGUGCGUAACACGUGAGCAACCUGCCCGCGUCCGGGACAUAACCGGUGGAAACGCCGACUAAUUUCCCAUAACACUACUCCCCGCAUGGGGAGUGGUUGAAAGACACGUCGGACGCGGAUGGGCUCGCGGGGCAUUAGCUAGUCGGUGCGGUAACGGCGCACCGAGGCGACGAUGCCUAGGGGUUCUGAGAGGAAGGUCCCCCACACUGGAACUGAGACACGGUCCAGACUCCUACGGGAGGCAGCAGUGAGGAAUAUUGGUCAAUGGGCGGAAGCCUGAACCAGCCAUGCCGCGUGAAGGAAUGAGGCCCUAUGGGUCGU